This 681-nucleotide ribosomal RNA is filed under the name Vibrio parahaemolyticus. Its description in RNAcentral is "bacterial SSU rRNA". It matches the Rfam family "Bacterial small subunit ribosomal RNA", at positions 1 to 661 of the family's 1533-position model. The record is from RNAcentral. Lineage: Bacteria; Pseudomonadati; Pseudomonadota; Gammaproteobacteria; Vibrionales; Vibrionaceae.
AAAUUGAAGAGUUUGAUCAUGGCUCAGAUUGAACGCUGGCGGCAGGCCUAACACAUGCAAGUCGAGCGGAAACGAGUUAUCAGAACCUUCGGGGGACGAUAACGGCGUCGAGCGGCGGACGGGUGAGUAAUGCCUAGGAAAUUGCCCUGAUGUGGGGGAUAACCAUUGGAAACGAUGGCUAAUACCGCAUGAUGCCUACGGGCCAAAGAGGGGGACCUUCGGGCCUCUCGCGUCAGGAUAUGCCUAGGUGGGAUUAGCUAGUUGGUGAGGUAAGGGCUCACCAAGGCGACGAUCCCUAGCUGGUCUGAGAGGAUGAUCAGCCACACUGGAACUGAGACACGGUCCAGACUCCUACGGGAGGCAGCAGUGGGGAAUAUUGCACAAUGGGCGCAAGCCUGAUGCAGCCAUGCCGCGUGUGUGAAGAAGGCCUUCGGGUUGUAAAGCACUUUCAGUCGUGAGGAAGGUAGUGUAGUUAAUAGCUGCAUUAUUUGACGUUAGCGACAGAAGAAGCACCGGCUAACUCCGUGCCAGCAGCCGCGGUAAUACGGAGGGUGCGAGCGUUAAUCGGAAUUACUGGGCGUAAAGCGCAUGCAGGUGGUUUGUUAAGUCAGAUGUGAAAGCCCGGGGCUCAACCUCGGAAUUGCAUUUGAAACUGGCAGACUAGAGUACUGUAGAGGGGGG